Molecule: long non-coding RNA, 16890 nt
Filed under: Sarcophilus harrisii (Tasmanian devil)
Lineage: Eukaryota; Metazoa; Chordata; Mammalia; Dasyuromorphia; Dasyuridae
Description: lncRNA (ENSSHAG00000023712.1)
Source: RNAcentral
CGCGCCACUCCUCGAGCCAGCCUCGCUCCCGGGCGCGCGCGACUCGUGCUUCUCACACGCUUAGGGCGAGGCAGCGGGAAAGCGGAAGUGACGCGCGGGACCCUCCGAGCCCCCCCUUCUGCUCCCUCCCUCCCCCCCCCAAUCAACCUACACCGGCGCCCCCGACAUCAGCAGCGUCCGGAGCGGGAGCUAAAGCGAGGCCCUUAGCCCAGGCUGAGCGCCCUUCCAGCCGGGAUGCGCCCUCCGCCCACUUUCUCCGCUUCUGGCUGCCGGGCCUCGCAGGACGAAGCCACACCCAUCGGGGCUGGGCAGCCUCCGCUGGACAGCCUCUCCCGGGCUGCUCCCCGAAGCCUGGGGUCACUGACCCUGUGCACCUCUGCGAACGCCCACUUCGGAGCUCCCCUCCCCCUCCCCCAGGCGCCCCUCCCCCGGGCCCUUCCCUUAGCAAGGAAGCCUGUAGCUGUGGCGGGAGAGCGCCCCCGUUCCAGCUCUCGCCUUCAUGGCCAUUCUCCAAUCUCCGCGUGGGCUGGGGAAGGAGCCUGUUCGAGGCACUCUGAACUGGAGCCUCCCAACCCCUAUUCUAAGAAACCCAGCAAAAUGAAAUCGCUUCUGGUCCCACUUUCUCUUUGUUUUCUCCAAUUGUAGGUAAAAAAAACAAAACCAAAACCCUUUUUUUAGUUAUACAUAUACAUUUAUUUACAUAUUUUCUCAUGAAUUAUGUUAGGAGAGAAAAAAUCAGAACAAAAGGGAAAACCACAAGAGGAAAAAAAAAGCAAGAAAAAAGAAAACAUGAGCAUACCGUGUGUUGAUCUAUAUUCAGUCUCCAUUGUCCUCUCUCUGGAUGAGAGCGGAUCCCAAAGUUUAUUGGGAUUGCCUCGGAUCACAACCGGUGAGGAGAGCCGGAUCUGUCAUCGUUGAUAUCACGCUGUAUACAGCAACAGCACGAAUGUGCGUCCCGAUUCUGCUCGUUUUGCUCAGCAUCAGUCCCCCGUAAAUCUUUCCAGACUUUAGUAAAAUCAGUUUUUUUGUUUUGUAGAACAAUGAUGUCCCAUUACAUCCAUAUCCCGUAACUCACUCAGCCAUUCCCCGCCGAUGGGAGUCUGCUCAUUUUCCGUUUCUUUGCCACCACAAAAAGCUGUUACAAACAUUUUUGUACGUAGGGGAUUUACGAUUUCUUUGGGACACAGACCCAGUAGUGGCACUGCUGGUCAAAAGUUAGCACAGUUUUAGAGUUCCUUGGGCGAGUUCCAAAUUGCUCUCCAGAAUGUAGUUGGAUCAUUUCACAAUUCCGUCAAAAAUGGAUUAGUAUCCCACGUCCCCCCCCAACACUUAUCCUUAUUUCUUGUCAUUUUAGCUAAUCCGAGAGGUGUGAAGUGGUUCAGAGUUGUUCUAAUUUGUAUUUCUAAUCAAUAAGUAAUUUAGAGCAUUUUUUUUCAGCUAACUAUAGAUGACUUUAAUUUCUUCAUCUGAAAAUUGUUGACCAUUUAUCAAUUGGGGAAUGACUUGUAUUCUUGGAAAGUCGAUUCAGUUCUUUAUAUAUUUUAUUUUAUAUUUAUUUUACUGAAACAGUUGGGGUUAAAUGACUUUGCCCAGGGUCACACAGCCAGGAAGUGUUAAGAGUCCAACACCAUAUUUGAACCCAGGUCCUCCUGACUUCAAGGCUGGUGCUCUAUUCCACUACACCAACUAACUACUGCCCUAGUUCUUUAAAUUUUUAGAAAUGAGACCUUUAUUAUAAACACUGGCUAAAAUUUUUCCCCCUAGCUUUCUGCUUCCCUUCUGAUCUUGGCUGCAUAGGUUUUGUUUGUGCAAAACCUUUUUAAAUUUAAUGUAAUCAGAGUUGUCUCUUUUGCAUUUCAUAAUGUUCUCUAAGUGUUUGGCCAUAAAUUCCUCCCUUCUCCAGAGAUCUGAUAAUGCUCUCCUAAUUUGCUUAUAGUUUCUAGUCUCCCCUCAUUCUCUUGAAUGACUCUUCCUUCCUUGGCUCCUGAAGUUGAGACAUCUUGGUCUGGUCACAUUUCCUCUCUCCCUCAUUUUGGACCCCAGCCAAACCCAACAAUUGCUGAAUCCAAAUUAUUUUCAUGCUCUUCUCUCGCAACACCCAGCAUGAAGUUUCAAACCAUUUUUAAGACCCAGUUCAAAUGUAAUUUCCUCUAUGAAUCUCUUCCCUGAUCUUCCAAACUAAAUCAAUUCUUCCCUCAUCUGAUUUCUUAGCUCUCAUUCAUUUAAUCAAAAUAUAAAUUAUAAACUGUGUAUGUCUAAUUACAUUCUCUCUAAGAAAUUGCUCAAGGCAAAGAAACUGUCUUCAUCAUCUGUGUUUCUUUCCUGUUCCAACCCCACAUCCAGCCCCAAACUCUGCUUUGAAGAGUCAGUACUUAAUGAAUGUUUGCUAAAUAUUAAAAAUGUUCAUUAAUGCUUAUGUCUAUUUAUUUGGACCUACAUAGGUCAUCUUUAAUGUGAAAGACAAAAUAUUCUAGUGUUGAUCAAUUAAUACUCUAUUCUUUAUAGCCAGUUUGAGACCACAGCAUUCCUAGAUUUUGCCAGUCACAAAUUGUGAAAAUCAAGUUUUUCUUAUUAGGAAGGGAGAGUGGAAAAAUUUUACAUACUUUUGGUUUUCAUUAAAAACAAUUUUUUUACAAGCCUUUGUGACUUGCUUCCACUGCUACCUCCUCAAAUUGAACAAUUAAAAAAAAUGUCCAUAACAGAUAAGCACAGUGCAACAAAAAUUUUGAGAUUGACCAUAUUGGAAAAUGUAUAUCUUAUCCCGCAUACUAGUAAGAGGCUAUCCCUUCUCUUACAGUAUAUAGAUAGAACAUGUUUCAUCUUCACUCCUCUGAAAUUGUGGUUUGUCAUGCCGAUUGAAAUUCUAAAGUUUUUAAAAAUUUAGAACGUUUUGAUAUUGUAUACAUUUGUGCAGUUCUGCUUUCACUUUCUAUCAGUUUAUAGAGAUCUUCUGAAACUAUUCAUUUCAUGAUUUCUAUGGCACUUUAGCCUAUUAUGUUCAUGUAUCAUAAUGUGGUUAGCCAUUCUUCAAUAGAUGAGCACCCCUGUAGCUUCCACUCUGGAACUACUUAUAAAUAUUAUAUAGAACUUCCAUUUAUAGUCAUGGAUCCCAAAGUUCAUAUAUUGUCAUAGAGUUCCUAAGAAUUUUUUUUAAUUUAUGUACUUUUAAAAAAAUAUUGAGAUAUAAGUCUGGUAUCAUCUGGUCAAAGGAUCAAACAGUUUGGUAACUAUUUGGACAGAGUUCCAAAUUGCUUUCCAGAAUGACUGUGCUAGCUUUAUAGACUACAUUAGGGUGCCUGUUUUCCUGUAGUCCCUCCAACAUUUGUUAUUUUCCUUUUCUGUUAUCCUUGUCAAUCUACUGGGUAAGAAAGCUCAGUUGUUUUAACUUGCAUUUCCAUGAUUAGUGAUUUGGAACUCUGCCUCUCCCCCUUCCCCCCCCCCCCCCAGAUUGUUGUUGUUAGCUUGCAUUUCUUCUUUUGAAAACUGUCCGUUUCUAUCUUAUUGACCCUUUCAAUUAACUGGGAAAUGGCUCUUGUUUCAAUCGGUUCCUUAUGAACUUGGAUAAGAGGUAUUUAUUAGAGGAAACUUGCUAUAGCAGUUAUGCCCAAUGAGCUGUUUUUUUGUUUGUUUCAUUUUAGCUUUAAUUUUAUUUGUACAAAAACUUUAGAUCUUCGUAUAAUACAAAUGUUCUAUUAUCAUCAAUUCUUUCUGUCCUUUGUUUUAUCAAAUUCUUAUCCUUUUGUUCUGAGAGACGAUUUCUUCCGUUGCUCAUCUAAUUUACUUAUAUCACUUUUUAUGUCGAGAAUAUAUCAUUUACAGUUUUAUCCUGGAAUGUUGAGAUGUUGAGUUAAUUUUUGUCAGAAAGCUAGUUUUCCUAAUAGUGACUCUUCUCCAUAGAAAUUGGGGUCUUUGGAUAUAUUAAACAUAAUGCUUUGUUCAUUUGCUUCUAUAUGUGCUAUGUAGCUAAUCAUUUUUUGUGAAUUAAACUAUUGUAUGAAGCAGUAAUCAUCAAAAAUACUUUGGUUAAAAAGGUCAAGAUUUGGCAUUGAGAGGCUCUCUCUCCUUCCCAUUCCUCCCUCUCCAUCUUCAGAUGACCUCAGUUUUUUGAGAUGAAGAUGUCUCUUUCAGAUAAGGUCUAUGAUCCUAUGGUCUCCCCUGAGGCUAUUUCAUUGAUUACAAAGCUCUAAUUUUGGAGAAAUUUUUUUAAAGCCUCAGUUUACCUCUCUGAAACUUCUACCCACUUUUUCUACUUUGGCCCUUUGUGGCCAAGCAGAACCUAACUAGGCUUUCCAGAUGAUUGCCCUUCAGAUACUUGGACAAUUCUCAUCCUUCUUGCUUUCCUUUCCCCAAACCCAAUCUUUUCUCCAGACUCAAUGCCUCACUUUCCUACCACACAACAAGAUUGAGAUAGUUUAACUGGUGAAUCAUAGCUCAGCUCACAUGCUCAAUUGGCAUUCUCACUUUAAGACAGGGGUCCUCAAACUACGGCCUGCGGCCAGAUGCGGCAGCUGAGGACAAUUAUUCCCCUCGCCCAGGGCUAGGAAGUUUCUUCAUUUAAAGGCCCACAAAACAAAGUUUUUGUUUUUAGUCUAGUCCGGCCCUCCCACAGUCUGAGGGACAGUGAACUGGCCCCCUAUUUAAAAAGUUUGAGGACCCCUGCUUAAGAGGUUAUAUGGAAAACCAUCCUUUUCUCUCCUUAUCCCUGAAAUUGAUGGGAAGACAGUUGAAGAGUCACAGAGUAUGGAUAGAUACGGAUGAAUUGCUGUCUACUUCAUAGGAGGGAAUGCACAUCAGUGAAGUAACGAUACGGAUACAACUUUUAUUGUUAAAUACUUCUAGUAAAGGUUUAGGCCAGGAAUUUUCAGAAAAUACAUUCAAGAUACCACUUUACAUCAGAGGAACACAGAAGGCACUGUUAUAUUGAUUGACUAGAUACAAGUCAUGUAUGACACAUAUAGCAUCUAUGUCUCAAUUUUUAAAUGACAUAAGAUGAAUCACUUCAAACUAUAUACUUCACAUACCACCCCCCUACACAAAUCCAUAGGAUAUGUUUUCUAAGCAAUAAAAUUACCAAAGUGUGAAUUGUGUGGGAAUUCCUUAUUUAAAUAUCAUUUCUUAGCAGAAUCAUAACCUACAUGUGACUGAGGCAAAUUCCUUUGUGGGGUUUUGAUCAUAAUCUGAUCUGUCAUUGUCCCCAUUGAGAGUUUCACAGCUUCUCUACUUUGUCAUGAACCUAACUGCCCCCCCCCCCCCCCUUCCUCCACUUUUUUUUUUUAUCCCAUCCCAGUAUGGGCCCACUCUAGAUCCAGGAUCUUUAUUGCCUCCUUUGAAUAAGAAACAAACACUCAUAGGAUUGUUUCUGGGCUAGAUUAAAAAAAAAAGUUUUCAUGAGUCCCCCCUCUACUUGUUCAUGUGAUAUUAUUGGCAGAAACAUUUUAGACAUUGACAUAUUCCUGAAAAUGACUUGAAAUAUAUUUUCCCCACUGUCCUGAUAUGUGCUUAAUCUUUUCUCCUAAAUGAAUUCCUGGUAUUUUGCCAGGCUCAGAUCCAUGAUUCAAUUUUCUUUUUACUUUUUUAUUAAAGCUUUUUAUUUUCAAAACAUAUAUAAUUUUCAAAGUUUACCCUUUUAAAACCUUGUGUUCCAUUUUCCCCUCUAAUCCCCCACUUCCUCCCCCAGAUGGCAAGUAAACCAAUAUAUGUUAAACAUGUGAAAUACUUCUAUAUAUAUUUUCAUAACUGUCAUGCUGCACAAGAAAAAUCGGAUCAAAGAGGAAAAAGAAUGAGAAAAUAAAAUGUAAGCAAACAGAAACAAAAAGAGUGAAAAUACUAUGUUGUGAUCCACACUCAAUCCCCACAGUUCUUUCUCUGGGUGAAUAUGGCUGUCUUUAUCACAAGACCAUUAGAAGUGGCCUGAAUCACCUUGCUGUUGAAAAGGGUCAAGUCCAUCAGAUUUGAUCAUUGUAUAAUCAUGGGGUUGCCAUGUACUACUCACUUCGCUCAGCAUCAGUUCAUGUGAGUCUCUCCAGGCCUCUCUGAAAUCAUCCUGCUGUUUGUUUCCUAUAGAAUAAAAUUCCAUAACAUUCAUAUGCCAUAACUCAUUCAGGGGACAUGAUUGAAUUUUAGAUUAGAUCUCUCUCUAAACAGGGGCAUCAUCCAAUUCUAGGUUUACCCAAAGAUAAUAUGUAUUUUCCAAUAAGUGUUGGAGAUCAAUAAAAUCUAGUUCAACUCCAGGUGGGGAAAAGCUUUUAAAAAAUUUCUGCUUCAAAAGUCAUGCAACCUACCAGUAUUAUUUAGGAAUUCAGAUUUGUCUUUGAAAUGCCCGAUUAGCUUUCUUUCCACUAGGGGACCUCAGAGUCAUAGCUACUAAAAAAAAUACCAGAUUCAUGUUUCUCUCGUCUCCUUCCUAAACUCUAGAAAAUAUCUAAAGACCUGGAGAAGAUUAGUUUAUUUCUAUUUAAAUUCUCAGAAUAUUUAACAGUUAUGACAUUAGACCCAGGAAGAACUAAAUUUUAAGCAAGUCAAAAAUGAUCAUGAGGCAACCUGCUCUCUGGAUACCAAGAGACUUCAAGGCUCAGCAGCUCAGCUGCCCCUUCCUCAGAAAGAUCUUCCCCGAUUUCCUCACCUGGUGUUCUCUGCACAUCUUUUUAAAAUCUUAAAUUUACAAACCAAUAAACUAUCAAAUAACUUUAUACAAAUUAUGACUUACAAAAAGCUCAAGCUUUGGGGCACAAAAUAUUAACAAAAUACAAAACAUGCUUAUUUAUUAAGCAGAUAGUUUAAAGUAGUCAGUUUCUAAGUUGGCCUUGUCUAAAAUACAUUAAUUUAAAUUCACUAACUUUAACAGAAACAAAAAUGGUCUAUGAAAGUCUGAAUACUGUGUCUUUAGCCCCUAGAACAUUUUAAAAUCAGAGUCUCUGCCCCCAUCCUUGGGGGCCUUGUAUUGUAGUACAUAUCCUUGUACAUUCCCACCCUGGCUAAGUUCAUUAAGCACCUUGAGAUGUGCCUAUUGUCCCCUCCCCUAUCAUUCCCAAUGCCUAGAAUAGCAUUUCACAUAGAAGAGGGAAAGGGAACAAGCAUUCACAUAGUACCUGUUAUGUGUUAGGUCCUAUGCUAAACACUCUACAAAUAUUAUGUCAUUUGAUUCUCACAAUAACCCUGGGACGUUGGUGGUGUUAUUCCAUUUUACAUUUGAGGAAAUCGAAACAAACAUUAAGUGACCUAUAUAACAAAGUAAGUAAAUGAAGCUGAAUUUGAGCUCAGGCCUUGCUGAUUCCAGACCUGGUGUUUUAUCCACUGAGCCAUGCAGCUGCUUAAAUGCAGUAGGGGAUGCUUAAUUAAAAGAAUGCUUGCAUUGAAUCUUGUGGAGUGAAAAUGGCAACUAGCAAUGGAAAAUAAAAAAGAAUAAAAGCUCUAGGAAGUUUCUACAGUAUAUCUGUGCCCUGAUUACUCUAGAAGUCCUUGUAGUGUUCACAUUCCCAAUUCCUAUCCUCUGAAACGCGAAGGGAAUUGUGAAAGUAGUGCUCCAUUAACCUGUGUGGAAAUGUCAUUAUCAUGGAAAUACUGUGUAACCAGUGUGGCCCAGGAGCCUUUACCCAGAAUCCACAAGCAGUGAUGUGGUAGAAAUGGCAACUGCAGGAUUGUUGGAUGGAGAGUUUGACGGGAAAGUGGCAUUCCAGCAGCACCCUCACCUUGGUACCACAUAGGGGGACCCAGAGGUUCUGCCUCCACUUUCAGAGGGAUGAGUUCCUGCUUUGCUGUGCUCAGGGCCAAAGAGGCUAAUGAUUUGUGAGCUACACAAGCCCCUCAAAGGCAGUCUUUGGCAUCUGAUCCAAGUUGGGAAUAGUAUAAAAAAAUCAUUGGGUGAAUCCAAAUGCUGGAAGACUUCGAGAAAAGAUGGCAGUGGUAGUGACUGCCAGGAGCUAGGAUGAAAUUAUCAGACAACAGAGCAAUGGAAGUGAAGAAUUCAGCAGGGACAGCCAUCGUGGGAAGUUCCAGCACCCAAAGCAAGGACUUGGCUAUUGGAGUUGGGGGGGGUGGUGAGCCAGAAGGGAGUCGGUGAGUGAAGGAUAGGAGGGAGCAGGGGAGGUCAGCAGGUCUAUUCUAAGCAGUCCUGUAAUCACAGCCCUCUUCAGCCCAACCUUCAGCCUUAUCUUUCUCUGAGGUGAGCAGCAUCAAGCAAGACAAUGUCUAAAAAUUAGCUGGUCCUCAGCGUUCUCUGCAGCCCCUAAUCAUAUUCUCAAGGGAUUGGAUGGAAAAGUAUUAUACUGAUUUCUUCACUAAAGAAACAGGGCAAUAAGGAAAGUUACAGAAGAUGGCAAAAGAUUUCAUGACCUUGCUUGUUGUGGAUAUUCCCACUACACAUACACAUAAGGAAAAUGCUGUUAAUCUUAAAUCCAUCCAAGUUGCCCUUGAAUAAGGCAUCUGAAGGGGGGAAAGGCAUUGAGGGAAACAGACUAUAGCAACAAAACAGGGCAAAAGAUUAUUAGGUGACUGAUAAAGAAGAAAAAAUAAUCAAUGGAAUUUCUGCCGUUUUCUACAGCUACUGACCAGAAGGUAAAUAAACUUUCUGUUUCUUUGUCUUGCUAACUACUAAUUUAAGAUAUUAAACCCUUAUCUUUUACAUACUUUUGGAUAAAUCUUUAUGUUACUGUCUCUGUGGCCUCUUGCUAGUGGGGGAUUAGGUCUUGAGAGGUACUAGGGAGAUGAAACUUCUGGGUGCAAGCUAUUCAAAGCCAUUAAACUUAUUAUACUGUUUUUGAAAAAUUGUCAAGACUGAAAAGGAUCCAAAGAGCCCAUAAUUUUGAUGAUGGAUCCAGUGUACAUUAAGAUGAGUCACAGAGAAAAGAUUCGAGUCAUCUGCUCCCUCCUUCUCUCCAACUCCAUUCUAGUGCCUUCCUACUGGGGAGAUUGUAGCCAAGAGCAGAGUACUAAAUCUGGGUUGAAUUAUGAAUUUGCUGAAGAUCUAUUCUACUUCUGUCUCCAUUCUCCAAUAAUUCUCUACUCACUAGAAAGUUCGAAUGAAAGGAUAAAUCCAUUUCAGUAUUUCAAAUUAAAUCUCAGAAGUUUCAGUCAUACCCUUCCAUAUAAGUAUUUAUCUUUCUAAUUUUUUUUUGUAAUGAGUCCAUAAACUCUUCCUUUCUCCACUCUGCUCCAUUUCCAACAAUGCUAAAGUUAAAUGAAGAAUUCCAAGCACUUGAUUUCACACUAUUUAACAGAAACGAUUAUUUAAAAAUUCAAUAAAAUUAAAAAAAAAUGAAGAAAAUUGCCUGAAGCUAAAAAAAAAAUGCUAGACAGGCACUUAUUCUAAACCCACUCAAAGAUAAUGAUCAAAGCAAUUCAUUCUCUCAGUUUGGUAAGAUUAUUUUAGAGAGGAAAGAUUUCUCCAUUAAAAAAAAAAACAACUUUAUUAACAGUACAAAUAUUCAAAUGGAGUAAAACAAUUUGGUAACAUUUCCAUUUAUGAUCUCAUCUCCUCAUGGUGUCCAGAAGCUUUCCUAACUUAUCUAGUCUAGAAGUUAACUUUUUAACAACAACAAAAAAAAAUGUCCUGGACUCCCUUGACAGUCUGGGGAAAUCUAUGUGUUUUUUCUUAGAAUUUUGUUUUAAAAGCAUGAAAAAAAAAAAAAAAGAGAAAUGGAGAUUCAUGAUUCAAUUUUCAUUCAAAUUUCUAUUUAAAUUCUCAGAAUAUUUAACAGUUAUGACAUUAGACCCAGGAAGAACUAAAUUUUAAGCAAGUCAAAAAUGAUCAUGAGGCAACCAGCUCUCUGGAUACCAAGAGACUUCAAGGCUCAGCAGCUCAGCUGCCCCUUCCUCAGAAAGAUCUUCCCCGAUUUCCCCACCUGGUGCUGCUCUCUGCAUUUUUUUAAAAUCUUAAAUUUACAAACCAAUAAACUAUCAAAUAACUUUAUACAAAUUAUGACUUACAAAAAGCUCAAGCUUUGGGGCACAAAAUAUUAAUACAAAACAUGUCUAUUUAUUAAGCAGAUAGUUUGAAGUAGUCAGUUUCUAAGUUGGCCUUGUCUAAAAUACACUAAUUUAAAUUCACUAACUUUAACAGAAACAAAAUUAUGUCAGUUAGUCAUCAAAUUAUUUAAAAAACACACACACACACACACACACACACACAUACAAACAAAUUAAGGACCUGAGGUAAAGAGCUCCUGCUUUACAGGAAAUCUAUUCACUAAACAGGGCCUUCCUGUAGUUCUUCACAUUCUUUGGGUAUCAACUCAGCACAAGAAGUGACCAUCAGUUAUCCCUUGGUCUCUUCCUAGUUUUACCAUAGACAAAACAGGCAGAUCCAUCUCAUUUUUCUAUCAUGCAUUUCUUCUGAAACUUUUAACAUGGCUUCUGGGCAAUUGGUUGGCAAUAAGCUGUAGACUAUCCACACCCACUGGAGUAGUUUCUCCAUUGAUCUUUGGAUGACCCACAACAUUGGUCCUUUUGAGAUUGUGACAUUCUGGGAUUAGCUAUCAUAGCAUCACUGAAAUAAAUUUAACAUGUUCAAAAUGGAUUUUGUUUCAGGGAGAAGUUUUUAAAAGCAUCGAACAAUUUAACCAGUGCAACUCUGGCUGUUCAAUCUGUAUCCCAUGAAACAUUUAAGAAAUGUUAUUUAUAGUCCAUCAUCUUAUUCUCCUUAAGCAUGAGGAUUAUUUCUUUGAUUUCUCUCCUCAUAUAGAUGAAAAAAUUGAACUUUGCACAGAUACCCUAGUUUUUUGUUGUUGUUGGUUGUGGUGUUUUUGGUGAUGCCAUAUUUUUGUCCUAUCAGUUCUUCCUUUCUUCUCAUCUCUCCCCUGAUGAAAAACAAAAAGCCAGCCAAGAUGAGUUCUCUUCUGACUUGUUUCCAAGUACCACAUUCCCCCACUCACCCAGGUUCAGACCACUGACGUUCUUUAUCUUCUUCCUCUCACCUCUCCUGCCCAGCAGAUAUACCAUCUGGGGACUAUACAAUUGUCUCCCAUCUGAUCUCCCUGAUUCUAAUUCCCUCUGUCUUGAAUUCAGCCUAGAUAAGUAAGCACAGUAAGUGUCCUGUAACACAAGCCUGAUGAAACAACAGAUUCUAGAGCUGAAUGGCUGAAAUUUCAUUUUUUCAGAAGAGGAGAAAAAAAAGGCCCACAGGGAAUAAGUGACUUUCUUGUAAUGACAAAGGCAAUAAGUGAUAGAGAUAGAAUUUGAGCCCAAGUCUCAAGCUCCCAAAUCUCACGUUAUUUCCACUAUUCUACACAGCUUCUCACAACAGUCUUCUACUCCAAGACAUUAAUCUAGUAGCUCUUGAUUGAUUAUUGAAUAGUAUUUGAACUCUUUAACUUGGUGGUCAAGAACUCCAUAGCUUGGCCCUAGCCCAUUUUUCUCCUACUUCUUCCUCCCCAAACCCAAAGAUCUAGCCAAACUGUUUCUUUUCAUUCUCUGAAUCGACACUCAAAUCAGUUUGCUUCUGUUCCUUUGCUCCUGUAGAUAUCAGCAUGGAACUAAACUACACAUAGAAAGCCCUCAUGAAAUAGCUAUUAAAUAAAUGAAUUAGAUCUUAAUGAUGAAAAUGUAAAAAACAUAAUACUGGAGACAAUGUAAAUCAGCAUAUGUUAUGUUCAUUUUUUUUUCCUUUCUUUUCCCUCUUUCUCAUGGUUGUCCCUUUUGCUUUGAUUUUUUUUUCUAAUGACUCAAAUAAAUGCAUAUAAAAAUGAAUGUACAGGGAAUAACCAGAAAACAAGAAUAAAAAACAUUUAAAAAAGUAAGUCAGAUGCGGAACUAAAAUGAGAAUGAGAGCUUUUAUCCAAUUUUCUCCCUGGAGAUUUGUGUUUAAUAAUAGUUUGCAUCCACAUAGCAGAUCAGUUAUAAGGCCCUUUCAUUUACAUGAUCUCUUUUGACAACAUUCCAGACAGGCAAGUAUUAUGACUUUCUUUAUUUAAAAGAGGAAGAAAAAAAAGUGUCAGAAAGGAAGUUUGUAUAAUGGAAAACAUAGUAACCUUCUAGUCAGAAAGUCUAGGUUGGAAUAAUAUAACUUUGGGCAAAUCACAACCUCCAACCUCAGUUUGCGACCUAUAAAGAGGGAUACUAGUACUUGUAUUCCUUACCUUACAAAGAGGUGGUAAGAAAAGUCUCUUGAAAUUUAAAAGGAAUAAGAAUCAGGAAUUUCUGCAUCUCCACCCUGCCCCCCCCCCCAUCCCCUUAAGUCUUCCAUUAAGUUAGGACUGGGUUGAAUGAAAUCUUUGCCACUUCAACAGAAUGAUAGUUCUUUGGCAGAGGCUCUUGAGGUCAUCCAGCCAGAUUUGUUGGUUUACAGAGGGGAAAAAUCUGAAAUCCAGGGAGUAAGGGGAUUUACUCAUUUAAAGAAUAAGAACUGGGAUUUGAACCUAUAGCCUCUCACUCUAAAUGCAGAUAAUCUUACAUUUUCUGAUGAUGUGGAUUGAGGAAAUCAACAUUUUGAGCUAAGUUAUUGGAAUAAAACUAAAGACUAUAGUCAAGAAAUGCAAAGUUAGAUUUAUUUCUUCAUUAGUGAUGACAGGGGAAAAAUUUAAUCUAAAUACAUUAAUAUUCCUACUGGACUUUAUCUUCUGGAUUGUCAAUUCUUAAAAAAAAGAUAUUGAUUUCUAUCCAGUGAAAUCCAUAAUCAUAUCUUUAUAAACUAUGUAUCUGUGCUUCAAGAUCAUAAGCAGAAGGUGUGUGUGUUGGGGGGAGGAAGAAUAAGACAUUACUGUGCUUAAGGGGUUAAAAAUGAAUAGGACAUGGAAUCAAAUGAACUAUUUUAUAGACUAAUAACUUCAAGAAAGGAAUUUCUUAUUAACUCCUCAAAGCUCUCCAUAAUUCAUAUUCUGUUUCUAACACCCCCCCCCCCUUAGUCUUGCUGAAAAUCUUUUAAGGAUAGAAUGUAAAUCUGUGGGACUAAAAACUUUGUCCAAACAUUCUAGUAUCAUCCAAGGGCAAGGACUAUAUUUCCUAUCAUAAGACAAAUUGAAUUUCUUUUUGAAGAUAGACAGUUGGACCACAUCUCAUUUCAAUGAAUUGUCAUCAUGGUACCAAUGCAGGUUUCUGGUUAGUCAUUUAAAGGAUGUUUGGAGAUGGCUAAUUUCAACCUCAUUCAUUAUUGCACCUGCAUAUGACAGAUGGGAAGGUUUAGUGUUGUCUAGUUUGAAGACAAAUAGAUGAACCAGAUUUCUCUCCAUUAUACUUCCCCAUCAAUGAAUUUCCAUUAUUUUGAAGACAGCUAAAUUCAAGAGUAAUCUCUAAUUCACUGGGAUUCAUGAAAGGACAGGUUCAGAAUAUGAAAGUAGUAUGGUAUGGUAGAUAGCAUUCCAAAUUUAAAGUAAGAGUCCCUGGGUUCAAAUUCUGCCUUUGUCACUUAUUGACCAUGGCCAAGUCUCUUCAUCUGUCAGAAGAGGCAUUUGAGUGCGACCUCUGAAAGACAUGAACUAACAAUCUGAGCCUAUAUACAGUAAGCUGAGGCUUUGUAACAUUUUUCAUUGGGUGACUUGAAAUUUAAUUAUGUAAUGCUUUCCCUUCCUCCCUUUAUAGCUUUCAACAGUUUUCUCAAAGUCACAUUAAUUAAGGAGGAACAAAGCCACUAAAAAAAUCCACCCAUAAAACCCCAAACAAGGUAUACUUAGAAUCAUGAAGAUUCAACCCAGAUGUUUUGAUAAAUCCAGUAGCUUAUGUAAGUUUGAUAUUCUUGGUGUAUUGUAUGAUGUACAACGUAGUAAUCAAGUUCCAAGUGUACCUGGAAGAAAACAAAUGGUGAUUUAGCCAACUCAAGCAGUUACCCAGGUGUGGGAGAAGGAAGAUAAGUAAUCAAGCAAGGGAGACGUGAAUUAUGAGGAUAGAGAAGGAAAAUCAGCUAUCCUAAUGGAGGCAAACUUGACAGGCAGCUAUAGUGCUGAUGCCCAGGUUUCAGUCUUAUCCUGAACAUGCUAAUUAGCUGAAAACAGACAAAUGACUUUAAAAAAAGACAAUGUAGUGUUCUUGGCACCUGCCCUGACUUUCCUUUCAAACACCCUAGUAAUCCCAAGUUUUUAUUGGGGUUAGAAUUCACCAAAAAUGUCUUUCAGGAAGGAUAGUUUUCAGAUUUUUCUCAAAAGAAAAUUUUACUGGAAAUCAAAUUACUUGGUAUAUCAAAUAUACUUGGUAUAAAGUUGAUCUUUAUAGAGAUCAACUGUGAAUUUAGCUCAUUCAGGGAGUGCCUUAAAUUACUUGCAAGAUCUCAGUUUUAAGAGGCUUGUGAAAAGUUGGGCCAUUCCUUUUACUCACUGACGUCUUGGGAAGAAAAAGUACAAAAGAAUCUGUCCUGUUGGGGUUGCCUUUUAGUUCAGUCACUUCUUAGUCCUAGUUUCACUGUGUGAAGACAGGCCAAUCUACCCCAGCUCCUCUUCCCCCGCCUUGGGGCAUUUCAAGCAAUAUACAAAUUAGCCCUUGAUCAUGGUGGAGUCAGAAUCCCAGUCUCUUCAGUAAAAUACUGGACAAGGAAUCAUCUAGCAAUUGUCCAGAGGUUCUGCUUUUUAUGCUUACUAAAAAUCACUAAAUGUCUCAUUAACAUCAGAGGGCCAGCGUUUAAAGUCUAGCCCGUCUCCUCAACAGUAAGUGUAGAGAACUAUCUGGCUCGGACUCAGUGGGGUCUGAGGCCUUUUGCAGCGAUCCUCCAUUUCUGAGGGCAGCCUAUUCUUUGCCUCUAGAUAAUUACAGAAGUUUUUGUAAAUCACUAUUCUCAGGCUCUUUUUUUACUUCUCCUCUGCCUUUGUCCCAACCAUUUUACCAUUUGGGAAAAUAGAAAUUUUAAGCUCAAAUCAGGCAACUCUGGUAAUAAAAAUCCACCAUGAAGUCAUUUCUCCUUAUACAAAACCCAUCUCUUACAUUGCAACGCUCUACUUCAUUUGUGUAUGUUUUCCUCCUUCAUUUUUUAAGGGGAGGAGGGAGAAGAGACCUUCCUUUUAAAGGACAUGGUGUCCCUUUCUCCAUCUUGGUCUGGCAAGACCAUUGCCAACAGGGAAUUCAGGGCCAAGGAGUUUGCUAGUGGUUGAAAUCUAGGAGGCCUCAAUUGUAUCCACUCUCCAAGUCCAAGUCUCCUUCCCCUUCUCAUCUCCAGAAUACAAAACAUUUGGAUGCUGUAGCUCACACCCCAGUUCUGUGGGGUAAGAAGUGCAGACCCUGUAGGAUCAUUCCUUCAAAAUCAAGGCAACUUUAGCUCCAAACGGGAAGCUUGGGAAAAAAUAUUCUAAAAUGCAGAUCACACUAGCUUGCAAUAAUUGUUUUAGUUACCUCCUCCCUUCUCCCCAUUAAAAACAACAACAAUAAUAAUUAGAAGGAAGCAAUAAGGAAAGUUUUGGUCUUUUGCUCUAGAUCAGAGUUUAAGUUGGGAUUGGUGAAUUUAUUAAAAAAAUCAUUUUGAUCAGUAUUUCAGCAAGAUCAGCUUCCUUUGUAAUCUUCUGUACUUUAUGAUUUUUGAGAGGGGUCUCUAGGGUUUUCUGGACUUCCAAAAGGGUCCAGGACCCAAAGAAGGUGAAGAAUUCCUGGUUUGCAUGGGACAUUUCAGGAAGGAAAGGAAUUUUAGGGGAUUAAGAUCAAGUCAAUUUCAUCACAGCUGAACUUUGUCAUUAGAACAAGUUUAGCAAAAGAUUAGCAAGAAGUUUCUGGCCUCAGAUCCACCUACCCCAGUGGAAAAAAAAAUUGUAAAAGUAGAUCUCCUACAUCCUUCUUGAUCCAGGACAUUUGUUUCCUGCUGAUUAUUAUGGUUCAGGACCUAGCAGUUUAAGUUCUGAAAGUAAGCAGUCAAGUAAAUAAUGAUACCUGCAUUUAGAAAGAAAGGAUGAUUAAGGUCAGAGAAAAGGGAUUGCUCUGUGGUGCCAUUUCUCUCAAGAAAUUAAAACAAAUUGAAUUAGAAUCACGCAGAAAUCUUCAUCUCAGUACACUCCAGUAUCCCAGAUAAGCAGCCAUCUAUCCUUUAGUAGGGAGCUUCUAUUGAGGCUGAACCCAGUACCAGGAAACUGAUUCUCAGGAAGCUUUUCCUUAUAAUAAAACCUGAAUUUGCCCUACCAUUGCAGGAUACUAAGAGGAGGGGGCAAGAAAAAUAACCUAAUCCUUCUCUCUUACAACAGCAUUUUCAAAUACUUGACAUAAGAAUACCCUUCCCGUCUCUAGGCUACUUCAAAAACAUGAUUUCCAAGGUUCUUCUCCAUUCUUGUCCCUCCUUAGGUGUUGUCUAGCUUAUCAAUGCCCUUCCUUAAUGACACCCAGCACUGUGGGCAGACCAGAGUAGAACAGAGCAAACCUUAUCAUGUGAUAUCAAUCUAGCUGCAGCAGUUGGGACUUAACUAUCACAUGGAAAACAAGGGGGGAAAUCUAUAAUCCCAUACAUUAGUUUGACUCAAUGGGAUUUCAAGAAACAUUCCCUAUUUUAGAUACUUUUCUCUCUUCUCUCCCAUUCAAAAUUGAAACUACUUCCAUUAAUGUAGAUAUUUUAGUACUUUAUUAAAAAUAAUACUUGCUGGUCAGAGAGAAUUGAGAGGAGGAUGAAAGAUAUCAUAAGAAAGAGGGACGGUUUAGAGACUAAGCUAAUGGCUAGCUACAUUCCUCUCACCUAACAGGGCCAAGGCUGACAGGUAUGUUCUAUGUUUUGAUCUGCCACUGAAGAGAAAGCUCAUUCUUUGGAAGGGAAACUUCUCCAAGAAAAAGCCUUUGGUUUUACAGAGGGGGGAAAAAUACCUUUAAGAGUCCUUAGCUGCUUUUAUAUAGGAAUAACUCUUGAUUAUGCAGCUAUAGAAUUUGUCUAGGUCCUAGAAUGCCCACCACCCACUUCUAGAUUCAAGCUAAAUAUGGCAAUAUCUUCUACCAGCUCUUAUUCCAACAGUAGCUUUCAAACUCUAACUUGCUUUACCAGCUUUAGUUUCUAGGAGCCCUACCUUUCUG